UUGAUUAUUGUCAAUGUGUUCAAUUUGAUGUUCAAUAUGGCAAGAAUGGAUUUUUGUGGCAUGUGAAAACCCCUUUAUUUUCAUCUACCCUAAAUCUCGCUGCAGCAAAAAUGGAUUCUCGCUGUAGUGAGAAACUCUCGAGUGGUGGGGCGUGAACCAGCCCUGCUUCUCACUGCAGCAAAAAUGGAUUCUCGCUAUAGCGAGAAACCCUUGGGUGGCUACAUUCCAAACCCUCACCAGAAUUUCGCUGCAGCGAGAAACCCUCGGGUAGCAGAUAAUUUGUGCUCGAAUUUCACUAUUGCGAGAAUGCCUUUCUGUUGCAGCGAGGAUCAAUCUAUUUCGCUUGACUUGCUUGAAUGCUACUAAAGUUUUCACUCUUCAAAUUCUUUGUUGUUCAUGGAUCCUUCAUCAUCAAGUGAUUAAACAACUAAGGGUUCAAAUGAGGGGUUCUAAUAAGAAUUAAACUAAAUUGCAUUGUUUUUUUAAUAUAAGUGUAUCAUGAUUUUUAAACUUUUCUUAUCAUUUGCUUGUUCCCUUCCUAUGUUCACUCACUGAAUUUAUACUCACUAUUUUUAACUUCAUGUUUUCAGAUCAAAAGGCAGUUGGAACCUAGGUCGAGACAUCCACGUAGAUUCGUUUCCUUGGUAGGUAUCUCGACAUUCAAUAGUUGUAUCUUCACCAAGGUCACUUCGCUAGAAGUCAAGUGUCCUUUUGUUGUGUAUAGAUAAAUGCGAUGUAAAUUACUAACAUACAUGUCUUGGAUAAUAUAUGUAUAUUUUGAUUGGUAAUGCCAUUAUGAGUUUGGCUAUGGUUAACAUUAUUUUUGGUUCAUAUAAAU
This 838-nucleotide long non-coding RNA is filed under the name Theobroma cacao (cacao). RNAcentral's name for it is "long non-coding RNA (TCAC_LNC000327)". The record is from RNAcentral. Lineage: Eukaryota; Viridiplantae; Streptophyta; Magnoliopsida; Malvales; Malvaceae.